Molecule: long non-coding RNA, 561 nt
Organism: Bos taurus (domestic cattle)
Lineage: Eukaryota; Metazoa; Chordata; Mammalia; Artiodactyla; Bovidae
Source: Ensembl
GCCCUGAGCCUCUCACAGCACGGAGGUGGAGCUGCAAAAUUACCCUGAAGCUGAGCAUCUCAAAGCUGAAGCAACCCUAGUGGUCAUCUCCUGUGAUUUUCCAUUUUACUACAAUAUUCCUCAUAGCAAGACAACCAUCCUCUGUUUGAACACUCCAAGGACAGGGAGUUCUCUCUUUCUCACAAGAGCAACUCUUAUCAUUCAACAGCUCUAAUCAUUAAAAUGCCUACAGUUAUAUGGUGUCAAAUUAUACCUCUGAAUAACUUGGAUCGUUUUGUCUUUUAGACUUGUACAAAAAAUGCCCAUGGCCACUGACCCAAGAUCCAGCAUGAGGAGAAGUUUGAUGAAAAAGACAAAGGUCUCAACCAAUUGUGUUUUAAACUCGUUCGAAUUUUUGCAAAAGUAUAAGCCUACAGGCUUCCCUGAUGGCUCAGCAGCUGUGCGGCAUAGCUUGUGGGAUCUUGGUUUCCCCGACCAGGGAUCAGGUCCCCUGCAGUGGAAGCAUGGAGUUCUAACAACUGGACCACCAGGGAAGUCCCCAUUCAUGCCUAGAGUUAACAG